Molecule: long non-coding RNA, 3500 nt
Organism: Meriones unguiculatus (Mongolian gerbil)
Lineage: Eukaryota; Metazoa; Chordata; Mammalia; Rodentia; Muridae
Exons: 2
Source: RefSeq, a predicted model, not a curated record
AUUUGAAAUGAGUUAAAACCAAGAGAUGAUGAGAGAAGGAAAAGGAAGAAAUGUCGGAAUGUGAGCAGAGCCACUGUCUUAGAAAUACUGCUUCGGAGUGAAGCUUGUGGGGACAGUUAACUCUUUGAUCCACCCAGAAGAAAUAAUAGAAUGAUAAACUUCUGGCAAAGAGGAAGUCCCUGAAGCAGUCUAUCCGAGAUGCUGAGUGGGGCCUGGCUGCUGGGGAAUGGAAGGAACCACCUGCAUAGCUGAUCUGUAGCAUCGGAUGAAAGGUCAAACAGGUGAGCAAUUCUGCUUUGUUUCACACAGCUGCCAUUCCAUGCUGCUUUUCCAUGGGCUCUAGCGUCAAAGGAAUCAAGCAAUCAUGGGAUGAAACCUCAAGACCAUGAGCUAAAACAAAACUUUCCUGGUUGACGGCCCUAGGUAUUUGUUUAGUUCUGGUAGAUUUUCUGGAGCAUAGGCUCCAGAGGAGAGAGUGGUAUUUGGUGACACGUGGUUGUUGUGUACGUUUGUGGGUAUGGAAGACUCGGGAGAGAUGAGCGGCUCCUCAGGCCAAUGGGACUUCAUGAAUUCUCACAGAACGCCUCAGUGGCAUUUACACAACUUCAACACAUCAUUCACCAAAGCAAGAGUGUGUUAAAAGAAAAUCUAUAAGUGGGUUCAGGCCAUGCACUGGGUACUUCACUAAAGGGCAUCACUCCCACAAAGAGCAAUUAGUUCAUUUGUGAAGGGGCUGGAGAAACCGCAGAUGCUGUGAGGCUUUCUGAGUCAAUGUGUGGCAUGAGAUGCAAAGUCGUCUGUUGGCCUCUCCUGUUUCUUACCAUGCUCUGCCCUGGCGUCUCCUGCCUCCACACUUUCUUUACCUGUAUGAACGGGACUGCCUGAGUUCCCUGCCACCCCCUGAUCAUCACAGACCAUACCACAACUGAACCAGAUACCCUCUGUGACUCCUGGAAUUCCUGGGACUCCUCCACACAGCCCCUGGGACUCCUCCACACAGCUGGAGCAGCACAUUUAUGGUGAGGCUUGGGAGAACACUGUGGCAGCAAUGAACACUGUGGCUUCAAGGCACAAGCUCAGGGAUACAUUCCAGAGGUGGAAGUCAGCCAUCCAGUCUUUGCGUCCCUUUGUUUUCCAGUGCUGAAGAUCAAACCCAGGGCCCAAUGCAUGCUAGCAACUGAGCCGUCUGCUAUUGACAAGCCCUCAAAAUGACUUUGAGGGCCACUGGUCUCAGUGACUUCAUAGACAGAAUUUGUCCUCACCAGAGAAAUGAGAUUUGGGAAGUAUUUGCUGGAGAAUAUCCAGUAAAGAGGUGAGUUGUGAGAGUCAGGCAUUGAACUGGAGGUGUGCUAGAAAGACCUUGCCCUGUGAUAAUCUCGAGUGCCACUAUUAAAAAGCCCGUGCACUGGGCUGGAGCAACCAGCUUCGACUCCUAGCAUUGCCCUGGUGGUUCACACUCAGCCCGUGGAGAUCUCUCUCGCACCCUCUUCUGGCUUCCUCAGGCACUGCACACAUACAGGUAGGCAAAACACCACACACAGAAAACAAAAACAAAAACAAAAACAAAAAAUCCAAAAAGGUUUAAAAAUUUGUGUGUAUUUUUUUUUUUAAACACAGGUCCUCACUGUGUAGCCUUGCAACCCCUUGGGAGGCAGAAGCAGAUAGUGAGUUUAAGACUAGCCUGGUCUACAUAGGGAGUUCCAGUCUAGCCAAGGCUACAUAGGGAACCCUGUCUCAAAACAACAACAAACAAACAAACAAGCACACACAUCAUUGAUUCAGUGUUAUACAGUGUUAAAGGACAUCCAAGAUAAAGACCAGGUGGCCUCCACCUUACACUUAGCUGCUGUUCUUGCCGGCGACAGCCCGAUUUACUUAUUUAUAAAUCUGCACUGUUUCAAUUAUUUAUGACUUUCUGCUCAAACUGGAUGCCGAUCCUCUGCUCCUGUGACACCCAUGUGGGUCACUGGCAGGAGCCUGCUGUGCCCAUGUGUGAGGUGUGCUCAUUGGCAGGACACAGUGUGGCAGCGUGGCAGGGAAGUCUCACCUUAACAGACGGCCAGGCUGGGGGUGUCCUGUGAGCAGCAUGAGAGAAUUGGGGUGGUGCCAGGAACCCCACAAUGCCUGGAAUGAGGCUUGAUUCCUCAUACUAGCCUGGGCCUUCAGUUGCUCUUCCACUCUGCCUGUUGGUAAAGGGAGCAGGUUGAAGGCCUUCCCCACUGUGAUGGGCCGUCCAAGGGAAGGAGAAAGAAGUGGCCGGCUGCUUCACAAAGCAAGUCAACCAGCAGGCCACUGGCUUCCCCCGAACUCAUUACUGCCUCUGUGCUCAUGACACUGCUCAAUCCGAGAGACAUCCUACCUACUACAAUCCGAACGCCAGGGUCAGAGCGUACAGGGCCGAGAGACCAGACCGAACCGUUAUUAGUUCACAGAACUCCAAUUCUUUAUUCAUCACAGCUUGCUCACAAUGACAUACAGGAAAAUAGCACUAAUGAAGAGUAAAUAUGCAGGCAGCAACCUUCAGGAGUUGGGAGUCGAGGGAGAAACGAUUUCAAAACUGCAAUAGGUAUUUAUGCUGGGUACCUGCUGAUUCUUUUAGUUGGCACAAGCGCCCUGCCUAGGCCCCCCCUUAACUUCAUCGGCAUCACAGAUGGAGUGAUUUGGUCUUGUUUGCAGGCAGUCUUGCCCUACACUGGGGAAGAAAGACCAGCUUGAGUAAAAGUCCACAGUGUUUGUGACUUUUGUUUGUGUUUUUAAUGCAACAACCAGCUCACAGUCUCCAAGUGGAAAAAUAUUCAGUAGCAUCAUGUGCUUGUACUACAGGCAAAAGCUUAAAAUGAACAUCAUCACCCAUGGCAUCCACAAAUAAGCCACCCGGCACGCUAAGUAAUUCAUUCCAUCCAAAGAACUGAAAGAAGAGAAGUAAGCCCGCUUCAUGAAGAACGGUUUCACGGCUGCUUGAACUCUCUGGCUCUAUAUUCGUGCGCAGCACUUUAGAAGGUUCAGCCCCUUGCUUCUAACCUGACUGAGCUCAGAUCCGUCUUCCCACCCUUCUCUUUCUGAAACCCAAACGCAUUUGCAGCACAGCACGGAACCCAUGAGUAGAAGUGAGUGCUAUGAAUGGUGGUUUCCCUUAGCCUGGCUCUGUGGUUUCUAGGCAGGAAGCAGGCGACGAGCAGACGAAUGUGGAGGUUCACAUGGAGACACAGUACCUGUGAUCUAGGUGUGGUCUUGGUCAAGCUCAGAGAUGGUGGGGUCAUCUAGGUCAUUAGGCAAUGGUGGAUUUCUAGCACCAUAGACUGUCUACUGACCUCAUUUUUCCGUUAGAAUGAAAAAGGGCAGGGACUGGAGUUCAACACGGGGAGCUUCAUAAAGAACAGACCUAGCAAGUUCAUUGGAGUGGAAAGACACAACAUCAAAAGCCUGUUACAGGACAUGUAAGAUUAUGAAAUAACUUGCAUAAUGCAAUACUUGUAUUUUUUAACAAAAAUGUAAAUAUU